RNAcentral lists this ribosomal RNA (253 nucleotides) under uncultured bacterium. RNAcentral's name for it is "partial 16S ribosomal RNA". It matches the Rfam family "Bacterial small subunit ribosomal RNA", at positions 524 to 776 of the family's 1533-position model. The record is from RNAcentral.
UACGGGGGGGGCAAGCGUUGUUCGGAAUUACUGGGCGUAAAGGGCCCGUAGGCGGCCAACUAAGUCAUACGUGAAAUCCCUCGGCUUAACCGGGGAACUGCGUCUGAUACUGGAUGGCUUGAGAUUGGGAGAGGGAUGCGGAAUUCCAGGUGUAGCGGUGAAAUGCGUAGAUAUCUGGAGGAACACCGGUGGCGAAGGCGGCAUCCUGGACCAACACUGACGCUGAGGAGCGAAAGCCAGGGGAGCAAACGGG